GAGGAAUAUUGGUCAAUGGGCGGAAGCCUGAACCAGCCAUCCCGCGUGCAGGAAGACGGCCCUAUGGGUUGUAAACUGCUUUUCCAGGGGGAGAAACUUUCCGAUGAAUCGGGAUUUGACGGUACCCUGGGAAUAAGCAUCGGCUAACUCCGUGCCAGCAGCCGCGGUAAUACGGAGGAUGCGAGCGUUAUCCGGAUUUAUUGGGUUUAAAGGGUGCGUAGGCGGAUCGAUAAGUCAGUGGUGAAAACCUGCAGCUUAACUGUAGACUUGCCGUUGAUACUGUUGGUCUUGAGUAUGGUCAAGGUAGGCGGAAUGUGUAAUGUAGCGGUGAAAUGCUUAGAUAUUACACAGAACACCGAUUGCGAAGGCAGCUUACUGGACCAUCACUGACGCUGAUGCACGAAAGCGUGGGG
This 413-nucleotide ribosomal RNA is filed under the name uncultured bacterium. RNAcentral's name for it is "bacterial SSU rRNA". It matches the Rfam family "Bacterial small subunit ribosomal RNA", at positions 356 to 766 of the family's 1533-position model. The record is from RNAcentral.